Eriocheir sinensis (Chinese mitten crab) is the source of this 6835-nucleotide RNA transcript. It is a transcript of the gene named alpha-N-acetylglucosaminidase-like, with no coding region annotated. Lineage: Eukaryota; Metazoa; Arthropoda; Malacostraca; Decapoda; Varunidae. The record is from RefSeq and is a predicted model, not a curated record. The transcript is spliced from 24 exons.
AAGAGCAAGAGCAAGAGCGGCCCAUGUAAACAUUGCCCCACACUCCCUCGAUUUGGUACACGGAGAAGAUUAACCGGGUCUCCAAGGCUGUGUUUUCCAUUCAAGGUGCAGACGUCGUGGAAAACUGCACUGUGGUCACUAAACAGUCCACGAAAAGCCCAGCGACUCCUGCGAGAGGCUUUCCGGACGGCAAACUGAGGUGACAACCCGCUCAGGAGCACGGACACUCCUCACUCUUCCUCUGAAACCCCAAUCAACAAUCAAGAAUAAGACAUAAGUGGGAGCCAUUACCAAGGCAAUCCCACGCCUACUACUGGACUGGACUGGACUUACCGGGAACGUAAAAACACCCAAGAAGAAGAAAAUUGUCCCGUGUUAAGUGUACCCAAACAAUCUAUUAUUUACUUCAGCAAACGAAGGUCAUCCAGAUCGCAUUGAGAGUGGCCGCGGGACAUGGUAAGAUUGGUUCAAAAUGUUGGGGCUUCGUUGUGUUGUUUGCCGUCUGCGUGGAAGGUGUCACUCAGGAAAAGCUAAAUGGUUCCAGUCUAACCCCAACUAGUGUUAUGAAAACAGCCGUAGAUGGGCUCCUCGGCCGUCUUCUUCACGAGAGGAGUAGAGAAUUUAUAGUGGAGAUAAGAAGAGGAACAGAAAGUGAUUAUUUUAAGGUUAUUGGGGAAGGCGUUGCGGGCCAGCCAGUACGAGUGUGGGCUGGAAGUGGUGUUUCUGCGGCCCAGGGUGUGAUGACCUUUCUGAAGUAUAUGUGUCAUGCCUCGGUCUCAUGGGAGGCUGAUCUCUUGGGAAGGUUACCAGCUGUCUGGCCAAAAGGGAUCAUUGAAAAGCAGAUCUUACACAGGUACCGACACUACAACAACCCGUGUGUGUUCUCUUACUCCUACGCCUUCUGGACAUGGCAUCGCUGGGAGAGAGAGAUUGACUUAAUGGCUCUCAUGGGUGUGAACAUGGCGCUGGUACUUGAGGGUCAGGAAACUCUCUGGCGACAAGUCUACAUGGAGUUGGGGUUAACCGAUGAAGAAUUAGAGGACCACUUUGCUGGAUAUGCUUUUCUUGCGUGGGGCCGGAUGGGCAACAUUGAGAGGUGGGGCGGGCCACUCUCCCGUCACUGGAUGCAGGAAAGAUUUGAGAUCCAGAAGAAAAUUGUCAAGCGAAUGAGAGAAUUUGGUAUGCUGACUGUUCUCCCAGCAUUCUCGGGCCAUGUUCCUAAGGGAUUAUUAAGACUGUUCCCAGAUGCAAAUGUGACGAAACUGCCUGCGUGGGGUCACUUCUCUGAACCGUACACGAGAACCUAUUUCCUGGACCCAAAGGACCCUCUCUUUGUGAAAAUUGGGAAAGAAUUCAUAAGAAAGGUAAUCUUAGAAAUGGGCACAGACCACCUCUACCUCAGUGACCCAUUCAAUGAAAUGACCCCAGCAACAUCCAACCUAACUUAUUUGGCAGACGUCAGCCGCUCCAUAUAUAGAUCACUUACUAAAGGUGACCCACAGGCAAUCUGGGUGACUCAGGGCUGGAUGUUUUUCAGCGAUGAGGACUUUUGGCAAAAACCUCAGGCAAAGGCAUAUCUUACUUCAGUCCCUCAGGGCAAGAUGUUGGUCCUUGAUUUAGCCGCAGAAGUUUACCCUCAGUAUGAACGCCUGGAGAGUUUCUAUGGGCAGCCUUUUGUCUUCUGUUUACUGAACAACUAUGGAGGAGUGAGAGGUCUCUUUGGCAACGUUGGAAUUCUUAUGAAGAACCUGCAGGAGGCACAGCAGUAUCCCAACUCCAGCAUGGUUGGGACAGGCAUGACUCCAGAAGGCAUUGGGUCAAAUUAUGUAAUAUUUGAUCUUAUGUCCGAAAUGUCCUGGAGAAGCAAUAUAGAAAAUGUGGCAGAAUGGGCGGUCCAGUACUCUAGGAGGAGAUAUGGAGCUCGAAAUAAGAAGUUAGAAGAGGCGUGGAAGCUGCUGCUGGCGAGCAUCUACAAUUGUUCUCAGCCGAUCAGGUUUCAUGGACGAUUCAUUCCGUUGAUGAGGCGACCCACCCUGAGGCCAAAAACAAAGAUUUGGUACUUCCUGAAAGACUUAGUAAUGGCGUGGGACCUUCUGAUUCACACAGCUAAAGGACAUCAAAGAAACCGAAAUAUCUGUGAAAUUAAGAGACACGGCCUGAAUGUGACUGCAGCAAGAGAUCGUAAUGAAAUCCUGCUGCCAUUAAGUGGAUUCAAACCCUCUGGAAAUGAAAGCCGAGUUCAAAAGAAAAAGAACCAAAAGUGCAGAGGUCAGACUAAAGGAAAGAAAAGAACAUAUGACAGUGAUGGACACGUUUUAAAGGAAGAGCUUGAUUUAUUUGACGAAGAGACAUACAAGUACGAUCUGGUAGAAGUAACGCGGGAACUGAUGCAGAUAGCUGCUGCAACCCUCAUCAAGAGACUCAUCACCAGUUACAGAAAUGGAGAUGUUCCUGCAGUUGAGAUCCACAGCAUUCAACUACAAGACCUCAUAAAGGACAUGGAUAUACUUCUUGGGAGUAAUCCUGUUUACCUUUUGGGAAGCUGGCUCCAGAGUGCAUCCGUUUGGGCUAAUGAUACAAAGGAACACAGUUUGCUGAGACGAAAUGCCCUCUACCAAAUAAGCUUGUGGGGUCCCAACGGUGAGAUUUUGGACUACGCUGUUAAGCAGUGGAAUGGCGUCAUGAUGAAGUAUAUUGCUCCCAGAUGGGGUGCGUUCAGCUCCUCCCUCCUAUCGGCAAUGAAAGCUGGGAUUGCAUUUGAUGAGGCAAAGUUCAAGAAUUAUGUGUUUGAAACUGUUGAGAAACCUUUUGCAGAGAAUGUAAACACCUUUUUCCCACCUACACCACAAGGUGAUCCAGUGAAGCUUUCUGUGAGAAUGUAUAACAAGUAUCGUCCACUAUUCACCAGAAGAAAGCUAAUGAAACAGUAUAUGAAGUUAGUUAUGAAAGCUGAAGAAUAAGGAAAUUGGGAGGGAUUUAACCAUACGCAUUUGAGGAAAGUCCCAGGCAUGAGUGCUGAGCGACAGAGAGGUCAGACGCCCCAACCCCUCAGAAGCCAAAACUGCCAACCAGCAGCAUCCUUACUUACUCAGCUAGGGAUCCAGCUAAAGUGAUGGGCUAUGGUAACAGUAUGGUAUAUUCUGAACUGGACUAUAUCCACGUAACAAACAUAUAAAGAGCAGAUACUGGUCUGAGCUACGUAAUUUCAGGUAAAGAUACAAAACUCGAUUUAUGCGAGUUUGGUUUACGCGUUUUUUAAAUAAGGCGGGGUCCAAAAUCCAAAUAAAUGUUUAAUUUACACAUUUUUUUCACUUAUACGUGAUAUUUUAUGGAGUGGCCACCAGAUGUCUCACACAACUGGACUCACACGGCGGUGCGGCCACACAGCUGAGCUCAGUUCUUCCCACGCACCACUUGAACAACAAUACAGUACCCACGCUGCCACGCUACUCAACAACAGCAACACCCUCGCUGCUGUGCUACCACGAGGGGAAGGGCAGCCAGAGGAGGAACCACGAGAGGGAGAGGAGUCAGAGUGAUACAGUAGGCAAUAAAGGCAUGCACACUGUUGGCCCCGAGGAAGUGAUAUUGCCUCGGCCAGCACCAAGAGACAGCACCGUACACACAAACACCACCUACUUGCUCACGGCCGCCACAGCCAACUACAAGCGUUGCCAAGUCUCCCGGUGCGGUUCUCCCCUUUCAAUCGUACAUUCAGAAAGGCACGUCAGACCCAGCUAUAAAAGUGCCCCGUCCCGUCCCGCCCCGCCUACUGUAUAUACGAAGCGUUGCUCCCGCCUCAGAGGGUGGAUGAGUGCUUGAGUGUGCCUGCCUGUCUGCCCCGUGCACUCACUCGGUGCCAUUAAUAUCUGGCCACGCUGGGCAGAGUUGCCACGUGUAUCUUUUUGUGCAGAAACGGCGAUGGUGGCGCCCAUGCAUGUGUGUCGAAUGUUUUAGAUAUAUUGUAAAAAUGAAAUGGAAGUAUACUUGGAUACAAAAUAAUAAAUAGUUAAACUUUAAUAUAAUAAUACUUAAAAUACAUUUGUGUUAUGCACGUCUAUUUCGUGUGGUGAUGAAUAAUUUUCUUUGUAAACUGAAGGGUGGCAGCAACCCACACCACCACACCCAGGCGUAAGCAAAAGUUGUUUCCCUUGUUGUGCUUUCCUUCCUACCAUUGUAUCAUUUUAGUUUCAUGGUGCUGCCCACACAUGUACUAAUAGUUGUAUAAUGUCCUGCCUGGGGGUUGGGAUGGCAUGUUCCUCCCUUCUCCCUUAAUUGUUGUUUACCUGCAACAAUAAACUAUCAAUCAAUGUACUAAUAGUUGUAUAAUGUCCUGCCUGGGGGUUGGGAUGCCAUGUUCCUCCCUUCUCCCUUAAUUGUUGUUUACCUGCAACAAUAAACUAUCAAUCAAUGUACUAAUAGUUGCAUAAUGUCCUGCCUGGGGGUUGGGAUGCCAUGUUCCUCCCUUCUCCCUUAAUUGUUGUUUACCUGCAACAAUAAACUAUCAAUCAAUGUACUAAUAGUUGUAUAAUGUCCUGCCUGGGGGUUGGGAUGGCAUGUUCCUCCCUUCUCCCUUGUUGUUUACCUGCAACAAUAAACUAUCAAUCAAUGUACUAAUAGUUGCAUAAUGUCCUGCCUGGGGGUUGGGAUGGCAUGUUCCUCCCUUCUCCCUUGUUGUUUACCUGCAACAAUAAACUAUCAAUCGAUCAAUCAUCAGGCGCGGGAUGUUUAACAAACCCAGGUUUUCCUGAUAUAACAGGGAGACUGGGGGUAAAUAUUUAUUCUUCUGGUGCAGGGAACAUCCAGGGAUCAUGUGACCUAUUUCAGUUCCCGACAUGGCAGCCUCCCAUACCAAAAUUAUAUUGUGAACUAGGGAUGGCACUCGAGUUCCUUAAAAUGCGGAUUCCUUCCGUGUUGUAGAGUGAGAUGCUGCGAUCCGUUUUGAACCGAUACGGAACGCCUAUUGUUCCAUAUUUAGCUAUCUGAAUGGUCAAGCAGAUAAGACUCAGUAUCUUAAUUAAAUUUGUAGUGAGCGUAUUUUUCGGUCAGUCACAAAAACAGUCCUUUAGCGUAUGCAUUUGUUAAGGGGGGCGGGUUGUUAUAUGGGCUAAUCCCAUGUUAAAAUGUGUAUGCUCUUGUUGCUUAAUUCUCCUCCUUUAUUUUAUGAAAAAUUUAUUUAAUUCAAAAAGCAUUUUGAUCAGAAAGGAUAAGAGAAUAAAGUUUACCCUUUUAUUAUUUGUAUAAAAUAGCAAAAAAUAUUUUUUAUCGAUCGAUGAAUAAAAAAUCAGCAUAAAAAUAUUCAUCAAAAUUCAAAAUCAACAUCAAACAAAAUGUACUAGAGUAGGAAUACUUCCUUUUGCAUAGUUUUACAAAACUGGAAUAGAAAAAAGUAGUGUAAUACGAAGUUUAUAGGAUGAGAAAAAAAAGAUAACAUUUCAAGAAAGCAACCGAUGAAAGUUGGUUUGUCGGUAAAUUUGACGUGUUGAACCUAGAGACUUGCAUUUCGCAGGCUACAUACUGCAAUAUGAUAUAGAGAGUAAGUAGACAAAGUUUCCCUUACUCACCAUCACUGGUUGUGUAUAUGUUACAGGGAAAGUGUGAAAGCAGUCAUUUCAUGAAAUCCCUAGUGAAUUUGUGAAAUGGAUUUUUCAUUUUGCUAAGUUAUGGAACCUAACGUAACCUAUCCUACCCUAAACUACUCUAACCUAACCUAGCCUACCCUACCCUAAAAUAACACUAACUAUAACAUAACCUUACUUACAAAAUUAUUCAAUGUUAUGUUAUUUUAAUAAGGUUAUGUUAUGAUAAGUAAGGUUAGGUUAGUUUGGGUAGGUUAAGGUAGGUUAGGUUAGGUUAGGUUAGUUUAGAGUAGAGUAGGUAGGUUAGGUUAGUUUAGGUUAGUUUAGGGUAGGAUAGGUUACGUUAGGUUCCAUAACAUAGCAAAAUGAAAAAUCCAUUUCACAAAUUCACUAGGGAUUUCAUGAAAUGACUGAUUUCACACUUUCCCUGUUACAUAUACAGGCCUUUACCGGUACUUGACCCCACCACACAGAACAAGAUCUCAGCUUCUUCAUGAUUUUUUUCAGCAUAUUUCUGAGAAAAAACAGGGUUUCAUUUCGCAAAAUGAAUGACCUUCAAUAUCAAAAAAGGCAUCUGUAUGUACACUGGAUUUCAAAAGUAUCAGUGCAUAAUGUGCGUGAAACCUUUUGGACAACAGUACGAACAUCGAUCAGUGAAAUGUUGAUGUCCGACUUGCCACAUGUUGGUAGCCCUGAUGUCCAGAGAUGCCAUACAACUACCAGUACCGAUAUCCCCUUCCUACUAUAUAAUUAUAUAUAGCUUAUUUUAGUGUUUAUAGAAAUAGACGUUGGUCAUACAGUGUGACGUUGGUAAUUUAUCAUGGGAGACAGAUAUACGGUACCAUGGUUCACACUGGUGGCUACGUAUACAGGGCUAUCACUAUGCGCUGAUAGUGCUGGCAUGUGACAAACAACGACUCUUAUCUUGUAUCAGUACACCUAACCCCUCAUGUGUCACGUUAACACAUCACCUACGAAAUGCACUGUACAAUACUGUUAUGCCGGACGUGUUACUUGGGUUCCGUGUCGCCGUCAGGAGACUCCGUGGGAGGGAGAUAUGUAAACACUUUGCACAGCUUCUGAAUUUAAUAUUCUUCCUUAGUAGUACACUUCACUGACUCUUCACUUACCACUAGCUUACUAUGACUGGGACUGGCCCUCUCUCGCCCUCUUCUCCUAUAUAUAUCCAGAACAGUACAGUCUAGAAUGUUACAGUAUAUUUCAGAUCAUACAAGAACAUGUAGCAAAAAUAUAUG